UGGGCCCUUAGCUCAGUUGGGAGAGUGCCUGCUUCGCAUGCAGGAGGUCGUCGGUUCAAAUCCGGUAGGGUCCAU
RNAcentral lists this transfer RNA (75 nucleotides) under Lactiplantibacillus plantarum. RNAcentral describes it as "Lactobacillus plantarum tRNA-Ala(cgc)". It matches the Rfam family "tRNA". Rfam says of the family: Transfer RNA (tRNA) molecules are approximately 80 nucleotides in length. Their secondary structure includes four short double-helical elements and three loops (D, anti-codon, and T loops). Lineage: Bacteria; Bacillati; Bacillota; Bacilli; Lactobacillales; Lactobacillaceae. The record is from RNAcentral.